GCCGGGCGCAGUGGCUUACGCCUGUAAUCCCAGCACUUUGGGAGGCAGAGGUGGGUGGAUUGCCUGAGGUCAGGAGUUCGAGACCAGCCUGGCCAACAUGGUGAAACCCCGCCUCUA
This 117-nucleotide non-coding RNA is filed under the name Nomascus leucogenys (northern white-cheeked gibbon). The record is from Rfam by way of RNAcentral. Lineage: Eukaryota; Metazoa; Chordata; Mammalia; Primates; Hylobatidae.